Molecule: long non-coding RNA, 409 nt
Organism: Macrobrachium nipponense
Lineage: Eukaryota; Metazoa; Arthropoda; Malacostraca; Decapoda; Palaemonidae
Exons: 3
Source: RefSeq, a predicted model, not a curated record
AGGAGACCCACUGGGGUCCUUUGGAGGAUCCGAGGGCGGGCUAUGAGCUCCGAAACCUGACAGAGGACAGCUCGGGAGAGUAUCGGUGCUCUGUUCAUAACUUCAGUAAGACUUUUGAAGUGGAAGUGCAAGGAACUCUGAAGCCGCCAAAGUUGGGCAUCACCAAGAAUACUUUUCCAGUGGUGGGCUACAGCAUGAAACUUUUCUGUCAAAUUCCGGAUAACAAAUUCCAGUCGGAACCCACUUUCACCUGGAAUCGGCUCAACAAAGAUAACAGAACGGUUGAGACACUACCUGAACACCAUCAUGUUCAGUCGCACAUGUAUUAUACCAGUUACCUUCUCGUCCAAAAUGUCACACUAGAGGACAGCGGAACAUACGAAUGCACAGUCAACACUGAAGGACGACC